GAUGAAGAACGUAGUGAAAUGCGAUAAGUAAUGUGAAUCGCAGAAUUCAGUGAAUCAUCGAAUCUUUGAACGCAUCUUGCGCUCCUUGGUAUUCUGAGGAGCAUGCCUGUUUGAGUGUCAUUAAAUUCUCAACUACACUGACUUUGAAUUGGUGUGGCUUGGAUUUGGGGGGAAAAUUGUUGUGGGCUUUUUGUAUAGUCUGCUCCCCUGAAAUUGAUUAGCGGUACCUUUGUGGAACUGUCUACAGGUGUGAUAAUUAUCUACAUCUUAGACAUCUGCUGGAAUGCUGCUUUCUAAACCUUACUUGUAUUGACAAUCUUGACCUCAAAUCAGGUAGGACUACCCGCUGAACUUAAGCAUAUCAAUAGCGGAGGA
RNAcentral lists this unclassified non-coding RNA (375 nucleotides) under soil metagenome. RNAcentral describes it as "partial contains 5.8S ribosomal RNA, internal transcribed spacer 2, and large subunit ribosomal RNA". The stretch from base 1 to 120 matches the Rfam family "5.8S ribosomal RNA", at positions 35 to 154 of the family's 154-position model. The record is from RNAcentral.